This 376-nucleotide long non-coding RNA is filed under the name Pan troglodytes (chimpanzee). Its description in RNAcentral is "long non-coding RNA NONPTRT004377". The record is from RNAcentral. Lineage: Eukaryota; Metazoa; Chordata; Mammalia; Primates; Hominidae.
UUUUAUUGUGGAAUGGGUUUGCCACAAAGCCUCAGGCGGAUAGAUAAGACUCGGGUCUCUGAAAAAUGACAGCUUGACAUCAAACCAACAAAAUCAAUUUCCAAAUUGAUUAAAACCAUUCUCAAAUAAAACUCCGCUGGCUUUCUCGAAUCCCAUUGUGAAAGGUCAUCUGGGAAACCCUUCGUAAAGGCGUGACCUGCUUCAAGAAACGCGAUAUUUGAAAAAAUGAAAUCUACACAUCGAGACACAUUAAGAGUGACUGUUCGCGUGACAAAAGGGUUUGCCACUUUACAAAAGAUUCAUCCCAGUGUUUCUUAAAGAACCAUACAACUGUGAUGUAUUUUAAAUGUCUUUCAAUUAAAAGAAUUGACUCAUG